This 253-nucleotide ribosomal RNA is filed under the name uncultured bacterium. Its description in RNAcentral is "partial 16S ribosomal RNA". It matches the Rfam family "Bacterial small subunit ribosomal RNA", at positions 524 to 776 of the family's 1533-position model. The record is from RNAcentral.
UACGGGGGGGGCAAGCGUUGUUCGGAAUUACUGGGCGUAAAGGGCUCGUAGGCGGCCAACUAAGUCAGACGUGAAAUCCCUCGGCUUAACCGGGGAACUGCAUCUGAUACUGGAUGGCUUGAGUUCGGGAGAGGGAUGCGGAAUUCCAGGUGUAGCGGUGAAAUGCGUAGAUAUCUGGAGGAACACCGGUGGCGAAGGCGGCAUCCUGGACCGACACUGACGCUGAGGAGCGAAAGCCAGGGGAGCAAACGGA